GGGGGGGGGGGGGGGGGGGGGGAGGGGGGGGGGGGCGGGCGGGGGGGCGGGGAGCUGGCGGUGCGGGGGGUAGCGGCGGACGGGUGGGGAACGCGUGGAUCACCUACCUAUAAGACGGGGAUAACUUCGGGAAACCGGAGCUAAUACCGGAUAAUAUUUUGAACCGCAUGGUUCAACAGUGACAGACGGUCUUGCUGUCCCUUAUAGAUGGAUCCGCGCUGCCUUAGCUAGUUGGUAAGGUAACGGCUUACCAAGGCACCGAUGCAUAGCCGACCUGAGAGGGUGAUCGGCCACACUGGGACUGAGACACGGUCCAGACUCCUAAGGGAGGCAGCAGUAGGGAAUCUUCCGCAAUGGGCGAAAGCCUGACGGAGCAACGCCGCGUGAGUGAUGAAGGUCUUCGGAUCGUAAAACUCUGUUAUUAGGGAAGAACAUAUGUGUAAGUAACUGUGCACAUCUUGACGGUACCUAAUCAGAAAGCCACGGCUAACUACGUG
This 497-nucleotide ribosomal RNA is filed under the name uncultured bacterium. RNAcentral's name for it is "partial 16S ribosomal RNA". It matches the Rfam family "Bacterial small subunit ribosomal RNA", at positions 27 to 507 of the family's 1533-position model. The record is from RNAcentral.